RNAcentral lists this ribosomal RNA (1161 nucleotides) under Trypanosoma cruzi. Its description in RNAcentral is "12S ribosomal RNA". The stretch from base 614 to 1161 matches the Rfam family "Trypanosomatid mitochondrial large subunit ribosomal RNA". The record is from RNAcentral. Lineage: Eukaryota; Euglenozoa; Kinetoplastea; Trypanosomatida; Trypanosomatidae.
AUAUCAUCAAGUUCUUUUGAAUUUAUAAUAAUGACCAAUUAAUUUUUUUAUGUGAGUAUUUAAAUUCUAUAUAGUAUUAUUAUUAUUUGUUUAUUUAAUUAGUAUAUGUGUUAUAUUUAAGUAUUAAAUUUGUUGUUUUAUAUUUAGUUUUAUUUAUCAUCAUUAACCAUAAGGAAAAUAUAAUUUUAAAAUUUACUGAACUGUGAUAUGUAGUUUAUUAUUUUUUGUUUAAUGUUUAAAUAUUUAACUAUUGAAGGCACAGUUGUUAUAUAUGUACCAAGUAAAAAUAGUAAGAGUAUUUCAUUUAAAUUAAUAAAUAAUUAUUUAAAAUUAUUGGAAUAAUGAAUAUUAUGAAAACUUUAAAAAUUAAUAUUUUUAACUGAUAAUAAAGUAUAAGUUAUUCAUUCAUCUGAAUAUUAGAGAUACAUAUUUAAUUUGUAAUUUAUGUGUUAUUAUACUAUAAAAGUCAGUAACAAAAUAGAAAAGUUAAUACAAAAAAAUUAAUAUUUAAUAUUUGUUUAAUUAAAAGUGACUUGAUAUGUCUAAAGCAUAAGUAUUAUUAUUAAAAAUAUAAUUUUAAAAAUAUAAAUAUAUUGUUAAUAAAAUUAUUGUAUUUUAAGUGCGUUUAUUAAAUGCGUUUGUCUAAGAAAUAUAUUUAAGAUUAUUCUUGUAUAUAUAUUUAUAAAUUAAUAAUUCUAAAAAUAAAAUAAAACUUCCUCGAAAAUAAAAUUUUAGUAGCAUAGUAAUUUGUUAACUAAUUAUUAAAGUGUUCCACAGAAAUUUUUUAAAUUAAAACAAAAAAAAUAAUUUAUGAAUUAAAAUAAAAAUUUUAAUAAAAAUUAAAUAAUUAAAAUAGGGCAAGUCCUACUCUCCUUUACAAAGAGAACGUUGACAUAUACGUAAUUGUAUGUUUGAUUGGGGCAAUACUAUAUUUAUUUAUAUAGGGAAAGAACUAUAAUUAUUGAAAUAAUAAAAGGUCCGAGCAGGUUAACAAGCAUUAAUACUAAAUGUGUUUCAUCGUCUACUUAUUGCUAAACAAAUUGAUUGUUCAUCAAAUUUGCAAUUCGUUAGUUGGGUUAAAAUCGUUGUAAAGCAGAUUUGUUUAUAUAUUUAAUUAAUAUAGGUAGUUAAUAGUAAUGUUAGUACGCAAGGAUUAAUUAU